This 796-nucleotide ribosomal RNA is filed under the name uncultured archaeon. RNAcentral describes it as "bacterial SSU rRNA". It matches the Rfam family "Archaeal small subunit ribosomal RNA", at positions 69 to 854 of the family's 1478-position model. The record is from RNAcentral.
AAAUUUUCCAUAGCAAACUGCUCAGUAACACAUGAUCAACUUGCCCUAUAGAGAAAAAUAACCUCGGGAAACUGAGGAUAAUGUUUCAUAGUUGAAAAGGCUUGGAAAAGUUUUUCAAUCAAAGGGAUAAAAAAAAUGGUUUUUAUCUGCUGUAGGAUAGGAUCGUGCUCGAUUAUGGUUGUUGGUGAGGUAAUGGCUCACCAAGCCGAUAAUCGAUAGGGGCCGUGAGAGCGGGAGCCCCGAGAUGGGUACUGAGACAGCGACCCAGGUCUUACGAGACGCAGCAGGCGCGAAACCUCCGCAAUACACGAAAGUGUGACGGGGUUACCCAAAGUGUUCAAUUUUGAACUGUGGUAGGUGAGUAAUGUCCCCUACUAGAAAGGAGAGGGCAAGGCUGGUGCCAGCCGCCGCGGUAAAACCAGCUCUUCAAGUGGUCGGGAUAAUUAUUGGGCUUAAAGUGUCCGUAGCCGGUUUAGUAAGUUCCUGGUAAAAUCGGGUAGCUUAACUAUCUGUAUGCUAGGAAUACUGCUAUACUAGAGGGCGGGAGAGGUCUGAGGUACUACAGGGGUAGGGGUGAAAUCUUAUAAUCCUUGUAGGACCACCAGUGGCGAAGGCGUCAGACUGGAACGUGCCUGACGGUGAGGGACGAAAGCCAGGGGAGCGAACCGGAUUAGAUACCCGGGUAGUCCUGGCCGUAAACGAUGCAUACUAGGUGAUGGCAUGGCCAUGAGCCGUGUCAGUGCCGUAGGGAAACCGUUAAGUGUGCCGCCUGGGAAGUACGGUCGCAAGGCUAAAA